RNAcentral lists this transfer RNA (73 nucleotides) under Stegodyphus mimosarum. It matches the Rfam family "tRNA". Rfam says of the family: Transfer RNA (tRNA) molecules are approximately 80 nucleotides in length. Their secondary structure includes four short double-helical elements and three loops (D, anti-codon, and T loops). The record is from Rfam by way of RNAcentral. Lineage: Eukaryota; Metazoa; Arthropoda; Arachnida; Araneae; Eresidae.
GCCUUCGUGGUGUAGUGGCCAGCACGCUCGACGCAUAACCGAGAGGUCCGUGGUUCGAUUCCCGGCGAAGGCG